UACAGAGGGUGCAAGCGUUGUUCGGAAUUAUUGGGCGUAAAGGGCGCGUAGGCGGUGCCACAAGUCACCUGUGAAAUCUCCGGGCUUAACUCGGAGCCUGCAGGCGAAACUGUGGUGCUGGAGUGUGGGAGAGGUGCGUGGAAUUCCCGGUGUAGUGGUGAAAUGCGUAGAUAUCGGGAGGAACACCAGUGGCGAAGGCGGCUUCCUGGCCUGUUCUUGACGCUGAGGCGCGAAAGCUAGGGUAGCAAACGGG
Molecule: ribosomal RNA, 253 nt
Filed under: uncultured bacterium
Lineage: Bacteria
Description: partial 16S ribosomal RNA
Rfam family: Bacterial small subunit ribosomal RNA
Source: RNAcentral